UUAACACAUGCAAGUCGAGCGGGGGAAGGUAGCUUGCUACUGGACCUAGCGGCGGACGGGUGAGUAAUGCUUAGGAAUCUGCCUAUUAGUGGGGGACAACAUCUCGAAAGGGAUGCUAAUACCGCAUACGUCCUACGGGAGAAAGCAGGGGAUCUUCGGACCUUGCGCUAAUAGAUGAGCCUAAGUCGGAUUAGCUAGUUGGUGGGGUAAAGGCCUACCAAGGCGACGAUCUGUAGCGGGUCUGAGAGGAUGAUCCGCCACACUGGGACUGAGACACGGCCCAGACUCCUACGGGAGGCAGCAGUGGGGAAUAUUGGACAAUGGGGGGAACCCUGAUCCAGCCAUGCCGCGUGUGUGAAGAAGGCCUUAUGGUUGUAAAGCACUUUAAGCGAGGAGGAGGCUACUCUAGUUAAUACCUAGGGAUAGUGGACGUUACUCGCAGAAUAAGCACCGGCUAACUCUGUGCCAGCAGCCGCGGUAAUACAGAGGGUGCGAGCGUUAAUCGGAUUUACUGGGCGUAAAGCGUGCGUAGGCGGCUUAUUAAGUCGGAUGUGAAAUCCCCGAGCUUAACUUGGGAAUUGCAUUCGAUACUGGUGAGCUAGAGUAUGGGAGAGGAUGGUAGAAUUCCAGGUGUAGCGGUGAAAUGCGUAGAGAUCUGGAGGAAUACCGAUGGCGAAGGCAGCCAUCUGGCCUAAUACUGACGCUGAGGUACGAAAGCAUGGGGAGCAAACAGGAUUAGAUACCCUGGUAGUCCAUGCCGUAAACGAUGUCUACUAGCCGUUGGGGCCCUUGAGGCUUUAGUGGCGCAGCUAACGCGAUAAGUAGACCGCCUGGGGAGUA
RNAcentral lists this ribosomal RNA (840 nucleotides) under uncultured bacterium. Its description in RNAcentral is "bacterial SSU rRNA". It matches the Rfam family "Bacterial small subunit ribosomal RNA", at positions 48 to 882 of the family's 1533-position model. The record is from RNAcentral.